AUAAUUGUAAGCCUUUUGGCUAAGAUCAAAGUGUAGUACUAUUUCCGUAGGGAGUCCAGUAGAUUAAAGUGAUUUUGGGAAAUGUCGGAGUGCUAGGGGCUUUUGCUCCACCUGUGUCGCGGGUUGACCCGGUAUUACAGCAUCUCCGGGAACGACCCCAAAAAA
RNAcentral lists this small nuclear RNA (165 nucleotides) under Cimex lectularius (bed bug). Its description in RNAcentral is "U2 spliceosomal RNA". It matches the Rfam family "U2 spliceosomal RNA". From Rfam's summary of the family: U2 is a small nuclear RNA (snRNA) component of the spliceosome (involved in pre-mRNA splicing). Complementary binding between U2 snRNA (in an area lying towards the 5' end but 3' to hairpin I) and the branchpoint sequence (BPS) of the intron results the bulging out of an unpaired adenosine, on the BPS, which initiates a nucleophilic attack at the intronic 5' splice site, thus starting the first of two transesterification reactions that mediate splicing. The record is from Rfam by way of RNAcentral. Lineage: Eukaryota; Metazoa; Arthropoda; Insecta; Hemiptera; Cimicidae.